GACGAACGCUGGCGGCGUGCUUAACACAUGCAAGUCGAACGGAAAGGCCCUGCUUUUGUUGGGUGCUCGUGUGGCGAGCGGGUGAGUAACACGUGAGUAAACUCCCCUUGUCUUUGGGAUAACUUCACGGGACUGGGGCUCAUACCGGGUAUGAGCUCCUGCUGCACGGUGUGGGUUGGAAAGUUUCGGCGGUUGGGGAUGGACUCGCGGCUUAUCAGCUUGUUGGUGGGGUAGUGGCUUACAAAGGCUUUGACGGGUAGCCGGCCUGAGAGGGUGACCGGCGACAAUGGGACUGAGAGACGGCCCAGACGCCUACGUGAGGCAGCAGGGGGGAAUAUUGCAGAACGGGGGGAAGCGUGAUGCAGCAACGCCGCGUGCGGGAUGAUGGCCUUCGGGUGGUAAACCGCUUUCGACGGUGACGAAGCGGGAGUGACGGUAAUGGGUAAAGAAGCACCGGCUAACUACGUG
This 468-nucleotide ribosomal RNA is filed under the name uncultured bacterium. RNAcentral's name for it is "partial 16S ribosomal RNA". It matches the Rfam family "Bacterial small subunit ribosomal RNA", at positions 28 to 507 of the family's 1533-position model. The record is from RNAcentral.